This 244-nucleotide long non-coding RNA is filed under the name Parus major (Great Tit). Its description in RNAcentral is "lncRNA (ENSPMJG00000011183.1)". The record is from RNAcentral. Lineage: Eukaryota; Metazoa; Chordata; Aves; Passeriformes; Paridae.
AAUGCAUUUUCUUUUCCACAGACCCAAGCAUGACAAAGCCCUUUAUUGGCUUUGCAGUAGAAGAGAACUGCUACAGUGCACCAAUUAAGUUUGCUGACAGGUCAUUCUAUCACCUGGUUGGAGGUGAGCACUGACAAGAGAGGCAGCUGCCUGCAGUGCAGUGAAGAAGUAUGGCCAAGUCCAGAGUAGCAGCGUGUCAAGGUUGCUGCAUCCUGCAGAGAGAGUGAGAAGUUGAUCUAUUUCU